RNAcentral lists this small RNA (18 nucleotides) under Arabidopsis thaliana (thale cress). Its description in RNAcentral is "Ath_wt_16904". The record is from RNAcentral. Lineage: Eukaryota; Viridiplantae; Streptophyta; Magnoliopsida; Brassicales; Brassicaceae.
CGCAUGCGCCCGCCGCCC